RNAcentral lists this ribosomal RNA (255 nucleotides) under uncultured bacterium. RNAcentral describes it as "partial 16S ribosomal RNA". It matches the Rfam family "Bacterial small subunit ribosomal RNA", at positions 524 to 776 of the family's 1533-position model. The record is from RNAcentral.
GACAUAGGUUGCGAACGUUAUCCGGAAUUAUUGGGCGUAAAGGAUGCGUAGAUGGUUUGAUAAGUUAUCAGUGGCAAAUCGGGGCUCAACCUCAUGGAAGUUGGUAAUACUGUCAUACUCGAGUGCAGGAGAAGUUAACGGAACUCUAUAUGGAGCGGUAAAAUGUGACGAUAUAUAGAAGAACACCAAUAAGGCGAAGGCAGUUAACUAGUCUGUUACUGACAUUGAGGCAUGAAAGCGUGGGGAGCAAAACGG